UCGCCUACACGAAGUCGGAAUCGCUAGUAAUCGCGGAUCAGCAUGCCGCGGUGAAUACGUUCCCGGGCCUUGUACACACCGCCCGUCACACCAUGAGAGUUUGUAACACCCAAAGCCGGUGGGGUAACCUUUUAGGAGCUAGCCGUCUAAGGUGGGACAGAUGAUUAGGGUGAAGUCGUAACAAGGUAGCCGUAGGAGAACCUGCGGCUGGAUCACCUCCUUUCUAAGGAA
Molecule: ribosomal RNA, 231 nt
Filed under: Limosilactobacillus reuteri
Lineage: Bacteria; Bacillati; Bacillota; Bacilli; Lactobacillales; Lactobacillaceae
Description: Lactobacillus reuteri partial 16S ribosomal RNA
Rfam family: Bacterial small subunit ribosomal RNA
Source: RNAcentral